AGAGAUGUGUGAUGACGCAUAUCAAUAAGCGGAGGAAAAGAAACUAACAAGGAUUCCCCUAGUAACGGCGAGUGAAGCGGGAAGAGCUCAAAUUUGAAAUCUUCAAGGUUCUACCUUGACGAAUUGUAGUUUAUAGAAGUGUUUUCUGUUAGUAGAGUGGCAAAAGUUCUUUGGAAUAGGACAUCAUAGAGGGUGAGAAUCCCGUAUUUGGUCAUUCCUUCUAGCGUUGCUGAUACACUUUCAACGAGUCGGAUUGUUUGGGAAUGCAGUCCAAAAUGGGUGGUAAAUUUCAUCUAAAGCUAAAUAUUGGCGAGAGACCGAUAGCGAACAAGUACCGUGAGGGAAAGAUGAAAAGAACUUUGAAAAGAGAGUUAAACAGUACGUGAAAUUGUCAAAAGGGAAGCGUUUGACACCAGUGUUGUUUUUCCGAAAAUCAAUUACGAAUGUUUUAGUUUUUGAGGAGUUAUGACUUCAUCGGCUUGCUCCUUUCUUUACGAAACUUUCUUAAUGCACUUUUCGGUUAACAAGUCAACAUCAAUUUCUUUUGUUGUAAAAGGGUAUGAGGAAGGUGGCUUUCUUUUCGGAGAAAGUGUUUAUAGCCUUGUAGCCUCUGCAAUCGGAGAGAUUGAGGUCUGCAGCGUAGAUCCUUCGGGGUUAGAUACAUUUGUGCUAAGUUAUAGCUUUUCAUAGACAACUUGUUGACUAUGUUUAGUCCUUGUAGCUUACUCGCUUAUGCUAUUUUACCUACGCUUAGGAUGUUGACGAUCAGCUGAGCGCG
Molecule: ribosomal RNA, 778 nt
Filed under: uncultured Neocallimastigales
Lineage: Eukaryota; Fungi; Neocallimastigomycota; Neocallimastigomycetes; Neocallimastigales
Description: partial large subunit ribosomal RNA
Rfam family: Eukaryotic large subunit ribosomal RNA
Source: RNAcentral